AAGUGAUAUUUCAAUAGUUAAGGUACUCAACUUUCAAUUGAAAGGUCGUAGGUUUAAAUCCUAUUCCGCUUA
RNAcentral lists this transfer RNA (72 nucleotides) under Schistosoma curassoni. It matches the Rfam family "tRNA". Rfam says of the family: Transfer RNA (tRNA) molecules are approximately 80 nucleotides in length. Their secondary structure includes four short double-helical elements and three loops (D, anti-codon, and T loops). Further hydrogen bonds mediate the characteristic L-shaped molecular structure. tRNAs have two regions of fundamental functional importance: the anti-codon, which is responsible for specific mRNA codon recognition, and the 3' end, to which the tRNAs corresponding amino acid is attached (by aminoacyl-tRNA synthetases). tRNAs cope with the degeneracy of the genetic code in two manners: having more than one tRNA (with a specific anti-codon) for a particular amino acid; and 'wobble' base-pairing, i.e. permitting non-standard base-pairing at the 3rd anti-codon position. The record is from Rfam by way of RNAcentral. Lineage: Eukaryota; Metazoa; Platyhelminthes; Trematoda; Strigeidida; Schistosomatidae.